UGUCCAAAAUCCGGGAUGCUAAGGCUGAGAACUGAUGACGAGUGUUCCUCGGAACAUGAAGUGCUUGAUGCCAUGCUUCCAAGAAAAGCCUCUAAGCUUCAGGUAAAAAGAGACCGUACUCCAAACCGACACAGGUGAUCAGGUAGAGAAUACCAAGGCGCUUGAGAGAACUCGGGUGAAGGAACUAGGCAAAAUGGCACCGUAACUUCGGGAGAAGGUGCACCGCUUUUGGUGAUGGGAUUUACUCCCUAAGCUGAGGGCGGUCGAAGAUACCAGGCCCCUGCAACUGUUUAUUAAAAACACAGCACUCUGCAAACACGUAAGUGGACGUAUAGGGUGUGACGCCUGCCCGGUGCCGGAAGGUUAAUUGAUGGGGUUAGCGCAAGCGAAGCUCUUGAUCGAAGCCCCGGUAAACGGCGGCCGUAACUAUAACGGUCCUAAGGUAGCGAAAUUCCUUGUCGGGUAAGUUCCGACCUGCACGAAUGGCGUAAUGAUGGGGGCGCUGUCUCCACCCGAGACUCAGUGAAAUUGAAAUCGCGGUUAAGAUGCCGUGUACCCGCGGCUAGACGGAAAGACCCCGUGAACCUUUACUAUAGCUUUGCACUGAACUUUGAACCUAUCUGUGUAGGAUAGGUGGGAGGCUUUGAAGUCGAGACGCUAGUUUCGAUGGAGCCGUCCUUGAAAUACCACCCUGGUAUGUUUGAGGUUCUAACGUCGGCCCCUUAUCGGGGUUACGGACAGUGUAUGGUGGGUAGUUUGACUGGGGCGGUCUCCUCCCAAAGAGUAACGGAGGAGCACGAAGGUGUGCUAAUCAUGGUCGGAAAUCAUGAGGUUAGUGUAAAGGCAAAAGCACGCUUGACUGCGAGACAGACAUGUCGAGCAGGUACGAAAGUAGGUCUUAGUGAUCCGGUGGUUCUGUAUGGAAGGGCCAUGGCUCAACGGAUAAAAGGUACUCCGGGGAUAACAGGCUGAUACCGCCCAAGAGUUCACAUCGACGGCGGUGUUUGGCACCUCGAUGUCGGCUCAUCACAUCCUGGGGCUGAAGCCGGUCCCAAGGGUAUGGCUGUUCGCCAUUUAAAGUGGUACGCGAGCUGGGUUUAGAACGUCGUGAGACAGUUCGGUCCCUAUCUGCCGUGGGCGUUGGAGAUUUGAGAAGAGUUGUUCCUAGUACGAGAGGACCGGAAUGAACGAACCUCUGGUGUUCGGGUUGUCAUGCCAAUGGCAUUGCCCGGUAGCUACGUUCGGACGGGAUAACCGCUGAAAGCAUCUAAGCGGGAAGCCUCCUUCAAGAUGAGAUCUCCCUGGGACUUUAAGUCCCCUAAAGAGCCGUUGAAGACUACGACGUUGAUAGGUUGGGUGUGGAAGCGCAGCGAUGCGUUGAGCUAACCAAUACUAAUUGCUCGUGCGGCUUGACCG
RNAcentral lists this ribosomal RNA (1416 nucleotides) under metagenome. RNAcentral's name for it is "bacterial LSU rRNA". It matches the Rfam family "Bacterial large subunit ribosomal RNA", at positions 1533 to 2925 of the family's 2925-position model. The record is from RNAcentral.